GAUCAUGGCUCAGGAUGAACGCUAGCUACAGGCUUAACACAUGCAAGUCGAGGGGAAACGACAUCGAAAGCUUGCUUCCGAUGGGCGUCGACCGGCGCACGGGUGAGUAACGCGUAUCCAACCUACCCAUUACUGUGGGAUAACCUGCCGAAAGGCAGACUAAUACCGCAUAGUCUUCGAUGACGGCAUCAGAUUUGAAGUAAAGAUUUAUCGGUAAUGGAUGGGGAUGCGU
This 232-nucleotide ribosomal RNA is filed under the name uncultured bacterium. RNAcentral describes it as "partial 16S ribosomal RNA". It matches the Rfam family "Bacterial small subunit ribosomal RNA", at positions 15 to 236 of the family's 1533-position model. The record is from RNAcentral.